This 253-nucleotide ribosomal RNA is filed under the name uncultured bacterium. RNAcentral describes it as "partial 16S ribosomal RNA". It matches the Rfam family "Bacterial small subunit ribosomal RNA", at positions 524 to 776 of the family's 1533-position model. The record is from RNAcentral.
UACAGAGGUCUCAAGCGUUGUUCGGAUUCAUUGGGCGUAAAGGGUUCGUAGGCGGCGCGGUAAGUCGGGUGUGAAAUCUCGGGGCUUAACUCCGAAACUGCAUUCGAUACUGCCGUGCUUGAGGACUGGAGAGGAGACUGGAAUUUACGGUGUAGCGGUGAAAUGCGUAGAUAUCGUAAGGAAGACCAGUGGCGAAGGCGACUACCUGGCCUGUUCUUGACGCUGAGGCGCGAAAGCUAGGGGAGCAAACGGG